This 800-nucleotide ribosomal RNA is filed under the name uncultured bacterium. RNAcentral's name for it is "bacterial SSU rRNA". It matches the Rfam family "Bacterial small subunit ribosomal RNA", at positions 8 to 807 of the family's 1533-position model. The record is from RNAcentral.
AGAGUUUGAUCAUGGCUCAGGAUGAACGCUGGCGGCGUGCUUAACACAUGCAAGUCGAACGAAGCACUUUAUUCGAAUUCUUCGGAAGGAAGAUUUAGUGACUGAGUGGCGGACGGGUGAGUAACGCGUGGGCAACCUGCCUCAUACAGGGGGAUAACAGUUGGAAACGACUGCUAAUACCGCAUAAGCGCACAGUACCGCAUGGUACGGUGUGAAAAACUCCGGUGGUAUGAGAUGGGCCCGCGUCUGAUUAGCCAGUUGGCGGGGUAACGGCCCACCAAAGCGACGAUCAGUAGCCGACCUGAGAGGGUGACCGGCCACAUUGGGACUGAGACACGGUCCAAACUCCUACGGGAGGCAGCAGUGGGGAAUAUUGCACAAUGGGGGAAACCCUGAUGCAGCGACGCCGCGUGAGCGAAGAAGUAUUUCGGUAUGUAAAGCUCUAUCAGCAGGGAAGAAGAAUGACGGUACCUGACUAAGAAGCACCGGCUAAAUACGUGCCAGCAGCCGCGGUAAUACGUAUGGUGCAAGCGUUAUCCGGAUUUACUGGGUGUAAAGGGAGCGCAGGCGGAAGGCUAAGUCUGAUGUGAAAGCCCGGGGCUCAACCCCGGUACUGCAUUGGAAACUGGUCAUCUAGAGUGUCGGAGGGGUAAGUGGAAUUCCUAGUGUAGCGGUGAAAUGCGUAGAUAUUAGGAGGAACACCAGUGGCGAAGGCGGCUUACUGGACGAUUACUGACGCUGAGGCUCGAAAGCGUGGGGAGCAAACAGGAUUAGAUACCCUGGUAGUCCACGCCGUAAAC